This is a non-coding RNA of Dipodomys ordii (Ord's kangaroo rat), 63 nucleotides long. The record is from Rfam. NCBI's taxonomy places the organism in Eukaryota, Metazoa, Chordata, Mammalia, Rodentia, Heteromyidae.
GGGAAUGUGGCUCAGUGGUAGAGUGCUUGCCUAGCAUGCAUGAAGCCCUGGGUUCCAUUCCUC